RNAcentral lists this ribosomal RNA (448 nucleotides) under uncultured bacterium. RNAcentral's name for it is "bacterial SSU rRNA". It matches the Rfam family "Bacterial small subunit ribosomal RNA", at positions 355 to 825 of the family's 1533-position model. The record is from RNAcentral.
CAGGGAAUCUUGCACAAUGGGCGAAAGCCUGAUGCAGCGACGCCGCGUGGGGGAUGAAGGCCUUAGGGUCGUAAACCCCUUUCAGCAGGGACGAAAAUGACGGUACCUGCAGAAGAAGCCCCGGCCAACUACGUGCCAGCAGCCGCGGUAAGACGUAGGGGGCGAGCGUUGUCCGGAUUUAUUGGGCGUAAAGAGCUCGUAGGCGGUUGCGUAAGUCGGAUGUGAAAACUCAGGGCUCAACCCUGAGACGCCAUCCGAUACUGCGCUGACUUGAAUCCAGUAGGGGAGUGCGGAAUUCCUGGUGUAGCGGUGAAAUGCGUAGAUAUCAAGAGGAACACCUGAGGUGAAGACGGGUUGCUGGGCUGACACUGACGCUGAGGCGCGAAAGCCAGGGGAGCAAACAGGAUUAGAUACCCUUGUAGUCCCUGAGCGGGCUGGCAAGGCGCAU